Molecule: transfer RNA, 75 nt
Filed under: Eremothecium sinecaudum
Lineage: Eukaryota; Fungi; Ascomycota; Saccharomycetes; Saccharomycetales; Saccharomycetaceae
Also listed under: 1 other name
Description: tRNA-Tyr
Rfam family: tRNA
About the family: Transfer RNA (tRNA) molecules are approximately 80 nucleotides in length. Their secondary structure includes four short double-helical elements and three loops (D, anti-codon, and T loops). Further hydrogen bonds mediate the characteristic L-shaped molecular structure. tRNAs have two regions of fundamental functional importance: the anti-codon, which is responsible for specific mRNA codon recognition, and the 3' end, to which the tRNAs corresponding amino acid is attached (by aminoacyl-tRNA synthetases). tRNAs cope with the degeneracy of the genetic code in two manners: having more than one tRNA (with a specific anti-codon) for a particular amino acid; and 'wobble' base-pairing, i.e. permitting non-standard base-pairing at the 3rd anti-codon position.
Source: RNAcentral
CUCUCGGUAGCCAAGUUGGUUUAAGGCGCCAGACUGUAAAUCUGGAGAUCGGGUGUUCGACUCACCCCCGGGAGA